CAUUACAAACAACGCAACUCAGCUUAGCUAGAUUUCAAUUCUAGUUCACCACAAUUUUCCCGACCAUCCCGGCUCCCUGAUGCGGUGCACAGUACAGGCUGUACUGCCCUGGUGCCUUCAGCACAACCGAGUAUGUCUCUCCCGGCGCGUUCAAGAGAUCAUUCUCGUCCAUAGACAGAGACCCAGCAUUAACUCCAGAUGGAACCUCAUCUUCGUCAAACACCACGUUGU
This 231-nucleotide long non-coding RNA is filed under the name Zostera marina. RNAcentral describes it as "long non-coding RNA (ZMAR_LNC000075)". Lineage: Eukaryota; Viridiplantae; Streptophyta; Magnoliopsida; Alismatales; Zosteraceae. The record is from RNAcentral.